This 184-nucleotide ribosomal RNA is filed under the name Actaea simplex. RNAcentral's name for it is "5.8S ribosomal RNA". The stretch from base 8 to 164 matches the Rfam family "5.8S ribosomal RNA". Rfam says of the family: 5.8S ribosomal RNA (5.8S rRNA) is a component of the large subunit of the eukaryotic ribosome. Lineage: Eukaryota; Viridiplantae; Streptophyta; Magnoliopsida; Ranunculales; Ranunculaceae. The record is from RNAcentral.
CUUAAACGACUCUCGGCAACGGAUAUCUCGGCUCUUGCAUCGAUGAAGAACGUAGCGAAAUGCGAUACUUGGUGUGAAUUGCAGAAUCCCGUGAACCAUCGAGUCUUUGAACGCAAGUUGCGCCCGAGGCCAUUUAGGUUGAGGGCACGUCUGCCUGGGCGUCACACACAGCGUCGUUCCCAAC